AUACAGGAAGAUUAGACCACAAACCGCUCUAUCAACACGAAAACAAAAUGCACGCUCAUCACCUGCGGGGUUUUGGACUCCUUCCGACAUAAAGCGCCAUGACGUGCAUAGAAUUAAUCGCAGUCUACCCAGUUUGCAAGAUUAUGCUAGGAUUCGUCCGAAGUCUCAAUGAAAAAAGGUUUACGACUGUUCUCAGUUAUGAUUUGUUGCUUUGGAUUCAUGUGAGAAAAGCUUAUAGUAAAAUUUGACUAAUACUUACAGGUAAUGUUUUAGAGAAAGUCAAGAAAUGAGAAGAAAGCAUCGAAGAAAAACAUAAAGAGCAAAAAAGAUGGCGAGGCCACGAUGGCAAACGUAAUUGACGGACGAGGUUGUGAGAAUGGAAUACGUAAAAAAUGAGGUCAGAAGCGUCAUGGACAUGAUGAUGGGCAAAAUUUAUCAGGAUGACAUAUUAUGUACUGAGCUGAUUCAACUAAUGCCCUUGAGUGAAAAUCUGGCUCAAAUGGUUUAUAGGAGAGAGAGAUUUAUUUUAGCGUCAACCAGAUAACAAUUCCGUAUAGGCUGGAGGAAUACGACCACAAGGUCAUCAAAGUCAGCUCCGAACGUUUUGGUACAUUUCGAAAAUCAUUUUGAUUAUUAUAAUUGUUAUUUGAUUAUUAUAAUGACAAGUUAAAUUCGAGAUAAAACUGUUCAUAUUCUCCGAAACCCCUACGGGUCUACAUAGUAGGCUAUCUUGCUUAUUUGGAGAUGAUAGGCAUGAGCAAAGAACUAUUUUAAACUUUGAAUUACAAGUUUUUUAUUUUGGAGAAGGAAAUAUAGUUACAUCACUGCGUGCUUGUUUAAAUAUCGUUGGUAACGUGGGUAAUUUGAAACACGUUGAAUUCUAAUAUGACCUCCAAAAUUUAAUUCUGCAUGCGCCAGAACAACAAAGACGGCCCAAAUGAGAAAAUUUGACUUGGGAAGCUAUAUGAUGAUUUGUCUAAAGUAUUAUCUUCAAUUCAUAAUUAAUUCGAAAAUUGUAGGCCUACAGCAUUGUACCGGAGCGAUUCCAUAUUUGCUUUCAAUCAAUAUUAAAUCAUAGACUAUAUAUUAUUUUCUUUUGUUAUCAUGCUUUUAUCUCGCAACAAAGGUCUUAUUAUAUUUUAGUAAAAGUUAUCAUUAUCUUCAGUACGCCGCUCGUGAUUAUAAUGCAUGAAUUGAUUUUCAAAUCAAAUGAACAUUCAAUAUACAAUAGGAAUAAUUUGACAGGGGAUAAUAUAUAUUUAAUAUUCGCUUAGCGGAGAGAAAACAUAAUUGCGGUAAUAUUACAAAGACUUCAAAAUGAAUUUUUCAACCAGUGCAUAUGGAAUAGAAUCUGAAAGUCUGGUGUUAAAGGGAUUCCGUUUGCUGUUUUGGGCUUCGGUUGUUUGCAUUCUGACGGGAUAUUUUGUGGUUACGGCUUACAUCAUGGUAAUUGGUAACAAAAAAUUAGUCGCGGUUGAAAUUAGACAUCAGCACUUGUAAGAGGCACGUGGUUGAUUGCUUUGAUAAAAAAUGAUGGUUUCAGACAUUUAAGACAGUUUGUAAGCGCCAACUCGCCAAAACACUCUCAAAAUAUGUUUGGAAAUAUUUCGCUAUGGACCUUUCCCCGAUCUCUGUCCGAGUGAGAAAAGUGUCUGAGCGGAUGAAAAAAGGGAGCCUUGUUACGUCACUUUUUGCUGAUUGGCUAAUGUCACGAAUUAACAAGGAAGUCGGUGCUCAGGGAAAGAUCCAUAGUGAAGU
Styela clava is the source of this 1758-nucleotide non-coding RNA. Lineage: Eukaryota; Metazoa; Chordata; Ascidiacea; Stolidobranchia; Styelidae. The record is from RefSeq and is a predicted model, not a curated record.